UACGAAGGGGGCUAGCGUUGCUCGGAAUCACUGGGCGUAAAGGGUGCGUAGGCGGGUCUUUAAGUCAGGGGUGAAAUCCUGGAGCUCAACUCCAGAACUGCCUUUGAUACUGAAGAUCUUGAGUUCGGGAGAGGUGAGUGGAACUGCGAGUGUAGAGGUGAAAUUCGUAGAUAUUCGCAAGAACACCAGUGGCGAAGGCGGCUCACUGGCCCGAUACUGACGCUGAGACACGAAAGCCAGGGGAGCAAACGGG
This 253-nucleotide ribosomal RNA is filed under the name uncultured bacterium. RNAcentral's name for it is "partial 16S ribosomal RNA". It matches the Rfam family "Bacterial small subunit ribosomal RNA", at positions 524 to 776 of the family's 1533-position model. The record is from RNAcentral.